UACGUAGGGUGCAAGCGUUAUCCGGAAUUAUUGGGCGUAAAGAGCUCGUAGGCGGUUUGUCGCGUCUGCUGUGAAAACUGGAGGCUCAACCUCCAGCCUGCAGUGGGUACGGGCAGACUAGAGUGCGGUAGGGGAGAUUGGAAUUCCUGGUGUAGCGGUGGAAUGCGCAGAUAUCAGGAAGAACACCCGUGGCGAAGGCGGCUCUCUGGGACGGUACUGACGCUGAGACGCGAAAGCGUGGGGAGCGAACAGG
RNAcentral lists this ribosomal RNA (253 nucleotides) under uncultured bacterium. Its description in RNAcentral is "partial 16S ribosomal RNA". It matches the Rfam family "Bacterial small subunit ribosomal RNA", at positions 524 to 776 of the family's 1533-position model. The record is from RNAcentral.